Molecule: ribosomal RNA, 502 nt
Filed under: uncultured bacterium
Lineage: Bacteria
Description: bacterial SSU rRNA
Rfam family: Bacterial small subunit ribosomal RNA
Source: RNAcentral
GAUGAACGCUGGCGGCAUGCCUAAUACAUGCAAGUCGAACGAGAGGAAGGAAAGCUUGCUUUCCUGAAUCUAGUGGCGAACGGGUGAGUAACACGUAGGUAACCUGCCCAUGUGCCCGGGAUAACUUCUGGAAACGGAUGCUAAAACCGGAUAGGUAGCAGACAAGCAUUUGACUGCUAUUAAAGUGGCCUUGGCCAUGAACAUGGAUGGACCUGCGGUGCAUUAGCUGGUUGGUGAGGUAACGGCCCACCAAGGCGACGAUGCAUAGCCGGCCUGAGAGGGCGGACGGCCACAUUGGGACUGAGACACGGCCCAAACUCCUACGGGAGGCAGCAGUAGGGAAUUUUCGUCAAUGGGGGGAACCCUGAACGAGCAAUGCCGCGUGAGUGAGGAAGGUCUUCGGAUCGUAAACCUCUGUCAGAAGGGAAGAAACUAGGGUGCUCUAAUCAUCAUCCUACUGACGGUACCUUCAAAGGAAGCACCGGCUAACUCCGUGCCAGCA